CCCUUAGAUGUUCUGGGCCGCACGCGCGCUACACUGAUGCAUUCAACGAGUCUAAAACCUGCUCUGAUAGGGGUGGGUAAUCUUUUGAAUGUGCAUCGUGAUUGGGAUAGAUGAUUGCAAUUUUUCAUCUUCAACGAGGAAUGCCUAGUAAACGCAAGUCAUCAGCUUGCAUUGAUUACGUCCCUGCCCUUUGUGCACACCGCCCGUCGCUCCUACCGAUUGAAUGAUCCGAUGAAUAUCAUGGAUUGAGGAUGCAAGUAGGUUCGCCUAUCUUCAUCUUCGAGAAGUGAAGUAAAUCUUAUCAUUUAGAGGAAGGAGAAGUCGUAACA
RNAcentral lists this ribosomal RNA (329 nucleotides) under uncultured eukaryote. Its description in RNAcentral is "partial 18S ribosomal RNA". It matches the Rfam family "Eukaryotic small subunit ribosomal RNA", at positions 1470 to 1796 of the family's 1831-position model. The record is from RNAcentral.